UACGUAGGGUGCAAGCGUUGUCCGGAAUUAUUGGGCGUAAAGAGCUCGUAGGCGGUUUGUUGCGUCGGCUGUGAAAUCCCGAGGCUCAACCUCGGGUCUGCAGUCGAUACGAGCAAACUAGAGUGUUGCAGGGGAGACUGGAAUUCCUGGUGUAGCGGUGAAAUGCGCAGAUAUCAGGAGGAACACCUGUGGCGAAGGCGGCCCUCUGGACGGAUACUGACGCUGAGACGCGAAAGCGUGGGGAGCAAACAGG
RNAcentral lists this ribosomal RNA (253 nucleotides) under uncultured bacterium. RNAcentral's name for it is "partial 16S ribosomal RNA". It matches the Rfam family "Bacterial small subunit ribosomal RNA", at positions 524 to 776 of the family's 1533-position model. The record is from RNAcentral.